CGGGGCAUAGCGCAGUCUGGUAGCGCUCCACGUUCGGAACGUGGAGGUCGCAGGUUCAAAUCCUGCUGCCCCGACCA
RNAcentral lists this transfer RNA (77 nucleotides) under Methylobacterium sp. WL116. Its description in RNAcentral is "tRNA-Pro". It matches the Rfam family "tRNA". Rfam says of the family: Transfer RNA (tRNA) molecules are approximately 80 nucleotides in length. The record is from RNAcentral. Lineage: Bacteria; Pseudomonadati; Pseudomonadota; Alphaproteobacteria; Hyphomicrobiales; Methylobacteriaceae.